This 73-nucleotide transfer RNA is filed under the name methanotrophic endosymbiont of Bathymodiolus puteoserpentis (Logatchev). RNAcentral describes it as "tRNA-Pseudo-CGA". The record is from RNAcentral. Lineage: Bacteria; Pseudomonadati; Pseudomonadota; Gammaproteobacteria.
ACAUCAGUGGUGUAAUGGUUAGCAUGCUCGCCUCGAGUGCAAUAGAUCGUGGGUUCAAGCCCGAUCGGGUCAA